Small nuclear RNA from Rattus norvegicus (Norway rat), 161 nucleotides. Ensembl annotates it as U1 spliceosomal RNA. The record is from Ensembl. Lineage: Eukaryota; Metazoa; Chordata; Mammalia; Rodentia; Muridae.
CCACACACCUGGCAAGGGAAACACCAUGACGGUGAAGGUGGUUUUCCCAGGGUGCAACUCGCCCAUUGCACCCAGCUGUGCUGAUUCCUGCUCCUUCUCCAAAUGUGGAUUUUGAAAUGACUGCAUAUCUGUACCAGUGGGGAACUAUGCUAUGCUCCUCU